CCCUUAGAUGUUCUAGGCUGCACCCGUGCUACACUGGCAGGUUCAGCGAGCUUCAUGCCCUGAUCUGAAAGGAAUGGGAAAUCUUUUCAAAACCUGCCGUGCUUGGGAUAGAUGUUUGCAAUUAUUCAUCUUCAACGAGGAUUGCCUUGUAAGCGCACGUCAUCAGCGUGCAUUGAAUACGACCCUGUAUUCUGUACACACCGCCCGUCGCUCCUACCGAUUGAAGUUUUCGGUGAGUUGACAGGAGGAUUUUUUUGAAACUGGUUCGCCAGUGGAUUUUAGAUCCAAAUGCCAACGAAUCGAUGGCUUUAGAGGAAGGAGAAGUCGUAACA
RNAcentral lists this ribosomal RNA (332 nucleotides) under uncultured eukaryote. RNAcentral describes it as "partial 18S ribosomal RNA". It matches the Rfam family "Eukaryotic small subunit ribosomal RNA", at positions 1470 to 1796 of the family's 1831-position model. The record is from RNAcentral.